Molecule: non-coding RNA, 73 nt
Organism: Glomus cerebriforme
Lineage: Eukaryota; Fungi; Glomeromycota; Glomeromycetes; Glomerales; Glomeraceae
Source: the annotation of a GenBank genome assembly
ACCCAGUUAGUUCAGUUGUUUAGAACGCCACACUAUCAAAGUGGAAACGCGGGUUCAAUUCCUGCACUGGGUC